CCUUAGUUACCAGCACGUAAUGUGGGAACUCUAAGGAGACUGCCGGUGACAAACCGGAGGAAGGUGGGGAUGACGUCAAGUCAUCAUGGCCCUUACGGCCAGGGCUACACACGUGCUACAAUGGUCGGUACAAAGGGUUGCCAAGCCGCGAGGUGGAGCUAAUCCCAUAAAACCGAUCGUAGUCCGGAUCGCAGUCUGCAACUCGACUGCGUGAAGUCGGAAUCGCUAGUAAUCGUGAAUCAGAAUGUCACGGUGAAUACGUUCCCGGGCCUU
Molecule: ribosomal RNA, 273 nt
Filed under: uncultured Pseudomonas sp.
Lineage: Bacteria; Pseudomonadati; Pseudomonadota; Gammaproteobacteria; Pseudomonadales; Pseudomonadaceae
Description: partial 16S ribosomal RNA
Rfam family: Bacterial small subunit ribosomal RNA
Source: RNAcentral